ACCUGUUCCCAUCUCGAACACAGUAGUUAAGCUCGUAAACGCCGAAAGUACUUGGCUGGAGACGGCCUGGGAGGAUAGGAAGUCGCUGAUUAAGC
RNAcentral lists this ribosomal RNA (95 nucleotides) under Veillonella sp. ICM51a. The record is from RNAcentral. Lineage: Bacteria; Bacillati; Bacillota; Negativicutes; Veillonellales; Veillonellaceae.